CAGUGCAGAGCUGCGGGCAGAUGAAGUGCACGUGGGCGUCGAAGCCUCCAGCAGUCAGAAUCAAGCCUUCGCCAGCGAUCACCUCGGUGUUCACGCCCACAAUCAGGUUCGGCAUCACGCCCUCCAUCACGUCAGGGUUGCCGCCCUUACCAAUGCCAGCAAUGAGACCGUCCUUGAUACCCACAUCAGCCUUGUAGAUGCCCGUGUAGUCCACAACCAAAGCGUUGGUGAUGAUCGUAUCCACCACCUGCGCUGACGUCUUUCCUGACGCCUGGCCCAUGCCUUCACGCAG
This 292-nucleotide small RNA is filed under the name Phytophthora sojae strain P6497. RNAcentral's name for it is "5' ureB small RNA". It matches the Rfam family "5' ureB small RNA". The record is from Rfam by way of RNAcentral. Lineage: Eukaryota; Oomycota; Peronosporomycetes; Peronosporales; Peronosporaceae.